Molecule: ribosomal RNA, 468 nt
Filed under: uncultured bacterium
Lineage: Bacteria
Description: partial 16S ribosomal RNA
Rfam family: Bacterial small subunit ribosomal RNA
Source: RNAcentral
GACGAACGCUGGCGGCGAGCUUAACACAUGCAAGUCGAGCGGAAAGGCCCUGCUUUUGUGGGGUGCUCGAGUGGCGAACGGGUGAGUAACACGUGAGUAACCUGCCCUUGACUUUGGGAUAACUUCAGGAAACUGGGGCUAAUACCGGAUAGGAGCUCCUGCUGCAUGGUGGGGGUUGGAAAGUUUCGGCGGUUGGGGAUGGACUCGCGGCUUAUCAGCUUGUUGGUGGGGUAGUGGCUUACCAAGGCUUUGACGGGUAGCCGGCCUGAGAGGGUGACCGGCCACAUUGGGACUGAGAUACGGCCCAGACUCCUACGGGAGGCAGCAGUGGGGAAUAUUGCACAAUGGGCGGAAGCCUGAUGCAGCAACGCCGCGUGCGGGAUGACGGCCUUCGGGUUGUAAACCGCUUUCGCCUGUGACGAAGCGUGAGUGACGGUAAUGGGUAAAGAAGCACCGGCUAACUACGUG